UGCCGGAUAGUGUAAUGGUAGCACAACUGCCUCUGGAGCAGUUUGUCUAGGUUCGACCCCUAGUCCGGCAGCCA
RNAcentral lists this transfer RNA (74 nucleotides) under Verrucomicrobiia bacterium. Its description in RNAcentral is "tRNA-Gln". It matches the Rfam family "tRNA". From Rfam's summary of the family: Transfer RNA (tRNA) molecules are approximately 80 nucleotides in length. Their secondary structure includes four short double-helical elements and three loops (D, anti-codon, and T loops). Lineage: Bacteria; Pseudomonadati; Verrucomicrobiota; Verrucomicrobiia. The record is from RNAcentral.